GGGAGGUCCAGCCUGCCCAAUGAUACAUUGAAUGGCCGCGGUACUCUUACCGUGCGAAGGUAGCAUAAUCACUUGUUCAUUAAAUGUGGACUAGUAUGAACGGCAUCACGAGGGUCAUACUGUCUCCCUACUCCAAUCAAUGAAACUAUUUUUCCCGUGAAGAAACGGGAAUUAAACUAUAAGACGAGAAGACCCCAUGGAGCUUUAAACCCAGAACAUCUACCAACCCCCCCAUUCUUACCUACUAUGGUACUCAUGUUUUCUGGUUUUUGGUUGGGGCGACCACGGAGCAAAAAAAAUCCUCCACGAUGAACAAGCUUUACUUUUACCCAUGAAGCACACUUCUAAGGAUCCUUAAUAUGACAUUUCUUGACCCAAGCCUACUUGAUCAACGAACCUAGUUACCCUGGGGAUAACAGCGCAAUCCAUUUCAAGAGCCCAUAUCGACAAAUGGGUUUACGACCUCGAUGUUGGAUCAGGGUAUCCCAGUGGUGCACCCGCUACUAAAGGUUUGUUUGUUCAACAAUUA
This 529-nucleotide ribosomal RNA is filed under the name Probreviceps sp. MTSN 8236. Its description in RNAcentral is "partial 16S ribosomal RNA". It matches the Rfam family "Bacterial large subunit ribosomal RNA", at positions 1847 to 2590 of the family's 2925-position model. Lineage: Eukaryota; Metazoa; Chordata; Amphibia; Anura; Brevicipitidae. The record is from RNAcentral.